Molecule: unclassified non-coding RNA, 335 nt
Filed under: soil metagenome
Description: partial contains 5.8S ribosomal RNA, internal transcribed spacer 2, and large subunit ribosomal RNA
Rfam family: 5.8S ribosomal RNA (bases 1-120)
Source: RNAcentral
GAUGAAGAACGUAGCGAAAUGCGAUAAGUAAUGUGAAUUGCAGAAUUCAGUGAAUCAUCGAAUCUUUGAACGCACAUUGCGCCCGCCAGUAUUCUGGCGGGCAUGCCUGUUCGAGCGUCAUUUCAACCAUCAAGCCCCAGGCUUGUGUUGGGGACCUGCGGCUGCCGCAGGCCCUGAAAACCAGUGGCGGGCUCGCUGUCACACCGGGCGUAGUAGAUUUUAUCUCGCUCAGGGCGUGCUGCGGGUUCCGGCCGUUAAAAAGCCUUUUUUACCCAAGGUUGACCUCGGAUCAGGUAGGAAGACCCGCUGAACUUAAGCAUAUCAAUAGCGGAGGA